UAGCUCAGUUGGUAGAGUGCUUGCCUUGCAUGCAUAAAGCCCUGGGUUCAAUCCCUAG
This 58-nucleotide transfer RNA is filed under the name Ictidomys tridecemlineatus (thirteen-lined ground squirrel). RNAcentral's name for it is "Spermophilus tridecemlineatus (thirteen-lined ground squirrel) tRNA". It matches the Rfam family "tRNA", at positions 8 to 63 of the family's 71-position model. Rfam says of the family: Transfer RNA (tRNA) molecules are approximately 80 nucleotides in length. Their secondary structure includes four short double-helical elements and three loops (D, anti-codon, and T loops). Further hydrogen bonds mediate the characteristic L-shaped molecular structure. tRNAs have two regions of fundamental functional importance: the anti-codon, which is responsible for specific mRNA codon recognition, and the 3' end, to which the tRNAs corresponding amino acid is attached (by aminoacyl-tRNA synthetases). tRNAs cope with the degeneracy of the genetic code in two manners: having more than one tRNA (with a specific anti-codon) for a particular amino acid; and 'wobble' base-pairing, i.e. permitting non-standard base-pairing at the 3rd anti-codon position. Lineage: Eukaryota; Metazoa; Chordata; Mammalia; Rodentia; Sciuridae. The record is from Rfam by way of RNAcentral.